This is a small nuclear RNA of Ailuropoda melanoleuca (giant panda), 107 nucleotides long. NCBI's taxonomy places the organism in Eukaryota, Metazoa, Chordata, Mammalia, Carnivora, Ursidae. The record is from Ensembl.
GUGCUUGCUUUGGCAGCACAUAUGCUGAAAUCGGAACAAUACAGAGAAGAUUAGCAUGGCCCCUGUGCAAGGAUAACAUGCAAAUUCAUGAAGACUUCCAUAUUUUU